This 431-nucleotide ribosomal RNA is filed under the name uncultured bacterium. RNAcentral describes it as "bacterial SSU rRNA". It matches the Rfam family "Bacterial small subunit ribosomal RNA", at positions 355 to 796 of the family's 1533-position model. The record is from RNAcentral.
UCGAGGAUCUUCGGCAAUGGGCGCAAGCCUGACCGAGCGACGCCGCGUGCGCGAUGAAGGCCUUCGGGUUGUAAAGCGCUGUCGAGGGGGAGAAAGCCGCAAGGUUGAUCGACCCCUGGAGGAAGGACGGGCUAAGUUCGUGCCAGCAGCCGCGGUAAGACGAACCGUCCUAACGUUAUUCGGAUUCACUGGGCUUAAAGGGCGCGUAGGCGGUUUACCAAGUCCGGGGUGAAAUCUUUCGGCUUAACCGGAAAAGUGCCUUGGAUACUGGUGAACUUGAGGGAGGUAGGGGCAUGUGGAACUUCCGGUGGAGCGGUGAAAUGCGUUGAUAUCGGAAGGAACGCCGGUGGCGAAAGCGACGUGCUGGCCCUCUUCUGACGCUGAGGCGCGAAAGCUAGGGGAGCAAACGGGAUUAGAUACCCCCGUAGUCC